RNA transcript from Homo sapiens (human), 1117 nucleotides. It is a transcript of the gene named protease associated domain containing 1, with no coding region annotated. NCBI's taxonomy places the organism in Eukaryota, Metazoa, Chordata, Mammalia, Primates, Hominidae. The transcript is spliced from 5 exons. The record is from RefSeq and is marked validated.
AGCCCGCGGCGAGAGCGGGUAUGUGGGCGGGAGGCCGGAGCAGCUGUCAGGCUGAAGUCCUGCGAGCGACGCGCGGCGGGGCGGCGAGAGGAAACGCGGCGCCGGGCCGGGCCCGGCCCUGGAGAUGGUCCCCGGCGCCGCGGGCUGGUGUUGUCUCGUGCUCUGGCUCCCCGCGUGCGUCGCGGCCCACGGCUUCCGUAUCCAUGAUUAUUUGUACUUUCAAGUGCUGAGUCCUGGGGACAUUCGAUACAUCUUCACAGCCACACCUGCCAAGGACUUUGGUGGUAUCUUUCACACAAGGUAUGAGCAGAUUCACCUUGUCCCCGCUGAACCUCCAGAGGCCUGCGGGGAACUCAGCAACGGUUUCUUCAUCCAGGACCAGAUUGCUCUGGUGGAGAGGGGACUCGGGUGGUCCAGGAGCACGGCGGGCGGGCGGUGAUCAUCUCUGACAACGCAGUUGACAAUGACAGCUUCUACGUGGAGAUGAUCCAGGACAGUACCCAGCGCACAGCUGACAUCCCCGCCCUCUUCCUGCUCGGCCGAGACGGCUACAUGAUCCGCCGCUCUCUGGAACAGCAUGGGCUGCCAUGGGCCAUCAUUUCCAUCCCAGUCAAUGUCACCAGCAUCCCCACCUUUGAGCUGCUGCAACCGCCCUGGACCUUCUGGUAGAAGAGUUUGUCCCACAUUCCAGCCAUAAGUGACUCUGAGCUGGGAAGGGGAAACCCAGGAAUUUUGCUACUUGGAAUUUGGAGAUAGCAUCUGGGGACAAGUGGAGCCAGGUAGAGGAAAAGGGUUUGGGCGUUGCUAGGCUGAAAGGGAAGCCACACCACUGGCCUUCCCUUCCCCAGGGCCCCCAAGGGUGUCUCAUGCUACAAGAAGAGGCAAGAGACAGGCCCCAGGGCUUCUGGCUAGAACCCGAAACAAAAGGAGCUGAAGGCAGGUGGCCUGAGAGCCAUCUGUGACCUGUCACACUCACCUGGCUCCAGCCUCCCCUACCCAGGGUCUCUGCACAGUGACCUUCACAGCAGUUGUUGGAGUGGUUUAAAGAGCUGGUGUUUGGGGACUCAAUAAACCCUCACUGACUUUUUAGCAAUAAAGCUUCUCAUCAGGGUUGCAA